GCCGUUGGAAGACAGGGGUAUAUAUACCCCUCCUACUUGACCACAACGGUCAUCUGAGCCAUUUACUUCGUCUUCCUUCAUCCUAACCAUUACAGAACACCAGUGCUCACUUCUCUCUCUCUCUUCCAUUGUUGCUUCUCAAGCUCUCAAGCAAAUCCAUCUUUCCCACCAUCAAUUCUUGAGAGAAAAGGUUGCAAACUUCGA
RNAcentral lists this long non-coding RNA (204 nucleotides) under Sorghum bicolor (sorghum). Its description in RNAcentral is "long non-coding RNA (SBIC_LNC006943)". Lineage: Eukaryota; Viridiplantae; Streptophyta; Magnoliopsida; Poales; Poaceae. The record is from RNAcentral.